GAUGAACGCUGGCGGCGUGCCUAAUACAUGCAAGUCGAGCGAACGGACGAGAAGCUUGCUUUUCUGAUGUUAGCGGCGGACGGGUGAGUAACACGUGGAUAACCUACCUAUAAGACUGGGAUAACUUCGGGAAACCGGAGCUAGUACCGUAUAAUAUUUUGAACCGCAUGGUUCAAAAGUGAAAGACGGUCUUGCUGUCACUUAUAGAUGGAUCCGCGCUGCAUUAGCUAGUUGGUAAGGUAACGGCUUACCAAGGCAACGAUGCAUAGCCGACGUGAGAGGGGGAUCGGCCACCUUGGAGCUGAAACACGGUCAAGACUACUACGGGAGGCCGCAGUAGGGAAUCUUCCGCAAUGGGCGAGAGCCUGACGGAGCAACGCCGCGUGAGUGAUGACAGUCUUCGGAUCGUAAAACUCUGUUAUGAGGGAAGAACAUCUGUGGAAGUAACUGUGCAGAUCUUGACGGUACCUAAUCAGAAAGCCCCGGCUAACUACGUG
RNAcentral lists this ribosomal RNA (497 nucleotides) under uncultured bacterium. RNAcentral's name for it is "partial 16S ribosomal RNA". It matches the Rfam family "Bacterial small subunit ribosomal RNA", at positions 28 to 507 of the family's 1533-position model. The record is from RNAcentral.